Molecule: ribosomal RNA, 497 nt
Filed under: uncultured bacterium
Lineage: Bacteria
Description: partial 16S ribosomal RNA
Rfam family: Bacterial small subunit ribosomal RNA
Source: RNAcentral
GAUGAACGCUGGCGGCGUGCCUAAUACAUGCAAGUCGAGCGAACAGACGAGGAGCUUGCUCCUCUGACGUUAGCGGCGGACGGGUGAGUAACACGUGGAUAACCUACCUAUAAGACUGGGAUAACUUCGGGAAACCGGAGCUAAUACCGGAUAAUAUAUUGAACCGCAUGGUUCAAUAGUGAAAGACGGUUUUGCUGUCACUUAUAGAUGGAUCCGCGCCGCAUUAGCUAGUUGGUAAGGUAACGGCUUACCAAGGCAACGAGGCCUACCCGAACUGAGAGGGGGAAUCGGCACCCGGGAAACUGGACACGGGCCCAACCCCUAAGGGGGGGAGGAAUGGGGAAAAUUGCAGAAAGGGGGGAAGCCCGAACCGGCCAACGCGGGGGGGGGGAAAAGGCUUUCGGGUUUGAAAAACCUUGUUUUGGGGGAAAAAAAAAUGUGUAAAAAACUACGCUGUUCUGACGGGAACCAAAGAAGAAGCCCCGGCCAAACUCGUG